This 332-nucleotide unclassified non-coding RNA is filed under the name soil metagenome. RNAcentral's name for it is "partial contains 5.8S ribosomal RNA, internal transcribed spacer 2, and large subunit ribosomal RNA". The stretch from base 1 to 120 matches the Rfam family "5.8S ribosomal RNA", at positions 35 to 154 of the family's 154-position model. The record is from RNAcentral.
GAUGAAGAACGCAGCGAAAUGCGAUAAGUAGGGUGAAUUGCAGAAUUCAGUGAAUCAUCGAAUCUUUGAACGCACAUUGCGCCCUUUGGUAUUCCUUAGGGCAUGCCUGUUCGAGCGUCAUUUAAACCUUCAAGCUAAGCUUGGUGUUGGGUGACUGUCCGCCUCACGGCGGACUCGCCUCAAAAUUAUUGGCGGCCGGUACAUUGGCUUCGAGCGCAGCAGAAACGCGAACUCGGGCCCGUCGUAUUGGCUCCCAGAAGCUAUCUUCACAAUUUUGACCUCGGAUCAGGUAGGGAUACCCGCUGAACUUAAGCAUAUCAAUAAGCGGAGGA